This is an RNA transcript of Cebus imitator (Panamanian white-faced capuchin), 5827 nucleotides long. It is a transcript of the gene named 60S ribosomal protein L11-like, with no coding region annotated. NCBI's taxonomy places the organism in Eukaryota, Metazoa, Chordata, Mammalia, Primates, Cebidae. The transcript has a single exon. The record is from RefSeq and is a predicted model, not a curated record.
CUGAGGUGGGAGGAUUGCUUGAGCCUAGGAGGUUGAGGCUAGAGUGAGCCAUGGUCACACCACUGCACACUAGCCUGGGUAACAGAUUGAGACCUUGUUUCAGAAAACAAAACAAACAGAUCUACAAAGAUCAACCUGUCUUAAGUCAGUCAUAUAAUCUCUUUGUAUAAUAACUCAAAACACCAUCUUCUCACCUCAAACCUGGUGCUUUUUUUUUUUCUUUUUUUUAAAAAAUAUGUUCUGUCCAAAUUAUUUUAUUAUUUUGAUUCCUAAAAUAGAAAUAGAAACUAAGAAAAAUAAAAAGCAACUCCUUUAUAAUAUAUGAGGACUUUUUCAGUUUCAAAUCAGAAAAACUCAACUCAGAGUACCUUAAACAAAAGGAGACAUUUAUUCACUUACAUAACCUAAAAGCUCUGACCUGGAUUCAGGUGCUCAACAGAUCUCAAGAAUAUUUCUCUUUUUCUCUCUCCCUUCCUUACCCUCCUCCUCUUUUCUCUCUUCUAUAUGUAUGUUAUUUUCAAACAUGCUCCCACAAGUAGUGGCAAUAUAUAGUUCCUAAUAGCUUCAGGUUUACAUUCUGCCUACUUUACCAACUAUGAUGGGAAGAGAGCUACAAUUGGAGCAAAAAUUUUUAGGGUGAGUUCUGAUUUCCCUGGAUUGAGGCACAUGCCUAUUCCUGAACCAAAUAUUCUGGCCAGGGAAUGGAAUUCUCUGGGACAUGUGUCUAAAGCUGAUGUAUAGAACCUGCCACCCCCAACACAGGGAUAAUAAUAGUUUUCCAAAGAAAAGUCAAGGAGGAGAAAGAAUGUUGGAAGAGAGAAAAGUAUCAGUUGUCUGUUUCAUAUUUUUUCUCAACAAUUCUGUAGAUCAUCUACAACUAUUUAGUGUAUAGCUUACGAUAUCAUAGAACUGAAAUACUGUAACACUCUAAACUUUAGAUUAUUUGUAGACAGGAAAAAUAAGAGAUCAAAGAAGCUGUGACUUUAUUCAAAUCACAUAGUUUCAAAUCACAUAGUUUGUAUACAUGCUGUUAAUAAAACCCGGGAUACCCGAGUACAAGUUUUAGCCUUAUAUUCACAUUGAGGUCCAGUUCCUGGUUUUGAAUGAGAUAAUUAUGCAUAGUGGGACUGUUUUCUGAUCCACAAAAUAGAGAUGAUAAUAUUUAUCUUGUAAAGUUGUGGUAGUAUUAAAGAUACGUAUAAAUGUUGGCAGGUACCUUAAUAGAUGGUAACUACUGCUGUAUGUUGUCAUUGUAAUAAAAGCCGUAUUUCUUCCUUUGUUGAAUUGUUUCCCUUUAGUAAUCUUAUUGUGAUCAUUCUGAAACACAGAUUUCCAUUGCUUCUUCAAGCAAACACCAUUAUGUUGAAACAUCUGCAUUAUUUCUAAGUUUAGCAGUACCAGUGGAAAGUUUACUGAAGUAGAAAAUUACUUUUUUAACUGAGGAGUGUAGAUUGUGAAUUCAUCUUAGAGAAGAUGAUCUGAAUAUUGAUGCCUAGAAUAUGAACAAAACAUUACAUAUCUUGUGCUAUGAUAUUAAAGUAGUAUCCUGUUCUGGUAGUAGUAUGGCAGUAUUUUAGGCCUGAAAGAUGUAUAUAAUCUGUACUUUAAAGUCUGUUUUUUAAGAGAUUAAUCACAAGAGAUUUACAUAAAACAAGUAAGAUUAAAAAUAAAUGGUGGAUUAGAGAUACAUCAGGCAAAUUUAAAUUUCAAAAGCAGAUGACAGGGUCUCAAUAUCAGAAUAGCAUUUAAAGCAAAAAGCAUUAAACUGGAUCAAAAAUGUUAUUUUACAUUACACGGGGUGCACUCCAGGUGAAAACUUAGCAGUUAUGAACCAAUAUGCUAAGGAUAACAUCAAAAUGUAUUAAGCAAAAGCUGAAAGAAAUGAAGAAUAGUUGGUAGAAAAGCAGUGAUAGGAAUUUUUAAUGUACUUCAAAACUCAAAAAGAAGGUACAGUCAUGUACCACAUAAUGAUGUUUGAGUCAGCAUCUGACCUCAUAUGUGACAAUGGUCCUAUAAAAUUAUAAUGGAACUAAAAAGUUGCUAUCACCUGGUGACGUAGCCAUUGCAGUGCAAUGUAUUCACUCACGUUUGUGGUAGCGCUGGUGUAAGCAAACUUGCUGUGCUGUCAGUUGUAUAAAAAGCAUAGCACAGUUAUGUUCAGUACGUAAUACUUUAUAAUGUUAAACGAAUGCUACUAGUCUACAUAUUUAUAGUACUAUACUUUUUUAUUAUUUUAGCAUGUACUCCUGCUUGUUUAAAAAAUGUUAACUAUAAAACAUUCUUUAAGCAGAUCCUUCUGGUGGUAUUCCAGAAAAAGGCGUUAUUGUCAUAGGAGAUAGCAGUUCCACGGGUGUAAUUGCCCCAUAAGACCUUCCAGUGGGACAAGAUGUAUAGGUGAAAGACAGUGAUAUUGAUGAACCUGACCUUGUAGAAACCAAGGCUAAAGUGUGUGUGUAUUUAUUAGUUUUUAACAAGAGUUUAUAAACAAUAAUAAUAAAUUUAAAAAUAGAAAAAAGCUUAUAGAAUAAGGAUAUAAAGAAAAAAAUUUUGUGUAGCUGUGCAAUGUGUUUUAAGCUAAAUGUUAGAGUCAGAAUUAAUUUUUUGUGUUUAUAAAGUGAAACAGUUAUAAAAUGCUAAGGUUAAUUUAUCGAAGAAAGAAAAAAAAUUUUUAAAUAAAUUUAGAGUAGCAUGUUUAUAAAAUCUACAGUAGUAUACAGUAAUAUCCUAGGACUUUACAUUAACUCACCACUCACCCAGGGCAACUUCCAGUCUUGCAAGCUCCAUUUGUGCUAAGUGCCCUAAACAGGUGUACUAUUUUUAUAUCCUUUAUACCAUUUUUACUGAACCUUUUCUAUGUUAGAUACACAAAUACCAUUGUGUUACAGUCACCUAUGAUACUGAAUUCAGCAGUAUGCUGUACGGGUUUGUAAAGUAGGAAGUGUAACAUAAUAGCCUAGGUGUGUAGUGAGCUAUACCAUCUAGGUUUGUGUAAGUAUAUUGUAUGAUACAAUGAUGAAAUCACCCAGAUGCAGUUUCUUUUAAGCAACACAAUACUGUAUAUAGGUGGCUUGAAUAAUAAAAUAAUGAAAUGUAUUUUUUCUGUCAUUCAUAAAACAGUUACCAAUCUUACGAAUUAGAUCAACUACAAAACAAAAAUCUCACUCAAAAAUCAAAAUUUAUAAGUUCUAUUUCUUGAUUACAAUUCAUUAGAACUGGAGUUUUUUUUUAAUGUUCAAAUUUAUAUGGAAAUAUAAAACCAUGUUUUAAAUAGUUUUUGAUUCAAUGAGGAAAUGUAAACUUACAUUAGAAAUUAAAAUUAAUAAGUAGAGAUUUAUAAAGGCAAAAAUGUAUCAUUUGAACUAAUAAAUCUAAAUACUGAUUGCAUGAAAUUGCCAAUAAAAUCAAUACAUAUUUUUAAGCCAGUCAAGGAAAAAAGAAAAGAGGGAAACUAAAAACAAGACAUUAAGUAUGAGAAACGAGAUAAAACUACAGUGUGGAGGUGAUGUUAAACAUUAUAUUCACGUUUGUGCUAAUCAUUUUGGAAAUUUCAAUGAGAAAUGGGCAAUUUUCAGUGAAUAUGUCAUCGUAAAUGCUUUAAGGCAAGAGAAAAAAUCUGAAUAGACCCUGCAAUAAUGAAAAUGUCUAGGAGCCCUCAAGAAAUAUUUGGUUUAAAUUGCAUUUCAGGUGGCUGCUUAUCAAAUCUUGAAGUAUCAAAUAAUUAUGUUAUCUAAAUUGGACCAGGUGUUAGAAACUAUGUAAGACUUUACAGAUGGCUGCUUAUGUAGCCCUUAUACCUUAAUCUGAUAAAAUAGCUUAUAUUUAAAAAGAGAGAAAACCAGAAAGUACAAUUCAGGGAAAAUUAAUUUUUUUCCGUUUGGCCAAAGUAAGAGUACAUUCAAGGGAAUUGUGAGAGGAAAGAGUGGAAAAAGAGGUUGGAGUUAUAUUUUUAUGCUGUGAUUAAAUUAUAGUGUGUGAUAAAUUGCUCUUGUUUGGGUAGAAUACCAUUUAACAUUUUGGAUUAAUUGGCAACUGGAUUAACCUUAAUUAAAAAAACAUCUGAAAGUGGUAUAAAGGAUGGAUUACAGAAUGGAUAAAGGGUAAUAAAUCAGUUGGCUAUGGCAAAAUUGCAGGAAGAAACUGAAAGAGGCCACAGAAAACCGAAGCUGACGUUUUGAGUAGUAUUUUGAAAUCAAAAUCUGGAUUUUGUCAACUGAAUAGAUGUGUAGGAAUCAAAGAUGAGUAGACUAAAUGAACUUAAUCUUGAUUUGUCUCUCAUUUUAGUUUGUAACGUUAGAGUGUAUGCAUGUAUGUGCCAGGUAGUUAAUAUGCUGUGUCUCUUACCUCCAUUCUGCUGCCUGGGCUUUUGCCAUAGUGCUGGAGUUCCCUCACUUCUCUUUUCUGUAGCCCUGUUAUAUCACAGCUGUCUUUCAGCUAUGUUUCCUUCCUCAAGCAGAAAGAAGAUGGCAGGAUCAUAUCGUAGUUGAUUAGAAGCUGGGGAUGUAGUUGCUGACUAGUGCUGGGAUAAUAUCUACUAUAUCUGUGCAUAUAGUAGUUGACUAGUGAUAGGAUGAUACCUAGUUCCAUUACAUAUGAAGAUAAAUGACCUUACUUCAUCUAUAAAAUGUUUUAUCAAUAGUACCAUUCUUACAUGGUUUUAUGAGUAUUAAAUUAUGCAUUUCUAAAGACAUUUAGAGCAAUAUAAAGAAUAUGGUAUGGGCUCAAUAAGCGGUGGUGGUGGUAGUUAUUAGAAGGCCUUCUAGUGCUAAGAAAAUAGUGAAUAUCACUGAUGGAAAUAAGGAAAGUUUUCCACAUAAAAAAGCUUCGGUUUUUGGAAAUGUGUGUUUUAAGUAUUUCUGAGAUUACCAGGUAGAAAUUCCAGCCAGAUGUUGGAAUUAUGCACUGGCAGUUGGGAGUAAAGUCAUAUUGAGGGAGAUAAGUUUUGGAGUUAUUAUGUAAAAUUGGAUAAUUAAAGCACUGGAAUAGAUUGGAUUGACAGAGGGGAAAAUCUUUUGAGAUAUGCCUAUAUUUAGCAACAAGAGAAGAGACAACCAAUAAAGGUUGGAAGAAACCGUAAGAGAGUAAGUCCUAUGACACAAGCAGGGAAGUUUCAGAAUGGGUGGAAAAAAAUCAGCCAGGCUCUUCCUGUUCUCCAUCAUGGUGCAGGAUCAAGGUGAAAAGGAGAACCCCAUGCAGAAACUUUGCAUGUGCAGACUCUGCCUCAACAUAUUUUUAGGAGAAACUGGAGACAGACUGACUUGAGUAACCAAGGUGUUGGAGCAGCUCACAGAUCAGAACCCUUCGUGUUUUCCAAAGCUAGGUGUACUGUUAGAUCCUUUGGCAACAGGAGAAAUGGAAAGACUGCCGUCUGCUAAACAAUUCGAGGAGCCAGGGCAGAAGAAAUCCGGGAGAAAGGUCUAAAGGUGCAGGAGUGUGAAUUAAGAAAAAAUAACUUCUCAGAUACUGGGAACUUUGGCUUUGGGAUCUAAGAACACAUCGAUUUGGGUAUCAAAUAUGACCCAAGCAUUGGUAUCUACAGCCUGGACUUCUGUGUGGUGCUGGAUAAGCCAGGUUUCAUCAUUGCAAAUAAGUGCAGGACAGGCUGCACUGGAGCCAAACAGAAUCAAUAAAGAGGAGGCCAUGUGCUGAUUCCAGCAGAAGUAUGGUGGGAUCAUCCUUCCUAGCAAAUAAAUUCUCAUUUCUACCCAAGAGGCCAAUACAAAGUGUUCAGUGAAAUGUUUAAAAAAAAAAAAAAAAUCAGCCAGCAGCCAGGAUUGGACUGUGAAAACAGCAGAAAAUUAGUUGUUGAGAAAGCAUUAAUGACCAUUAA